CUUCCGAGGGGAGAGCGGCGAACGGGUGAGUAACACGUGGGCAACCUGCCCCGGACACCGGGAUAACUCAGGGAAACCUGGGCUAAUACCGGAUACCUCGGCGUGAUCGCAUGGUCGUGCCGGGAAAGCUCCGACGGUCCGGGAUGGGCCCGCGGCCUAUCAGCUUGUUGGUGGGGUAACGGCCUACCAAGGCGGCGACGGGUAGCUGGUCUGAGAGGACGGCCAGCCACACUGGGACUGAGACACGGCCCAGACUCCUACGGGAGGCAGCAGUAGGGAAUCUUGCGCUAAUGCGCGAAAGCGUGACGCAGCGACGCCGCGUGCGGGAUGAAGGCCCUCGGGUCGUAAACCGCUUUCGGCAGGGACGAAGCGAAAGUGACGGUACCUGCAGAAGAAGUCCCGGCUAACUACGUGCCAGCAGCCGCGGUAACACGUAGGGGACGAGCGUUGUCCGGAUUCAUUGGGCGUAAAGCGCGCGUAGGCGGCUCGGAAAGUCGGUCGUGAAAUCCUGGGGCUCAACCCCGGAACUGCGUCCGAUACUCCCGAGCUGGAGGCAGGUAGGGGAGAUCGGAAUUCCUGGUGUAGCGGUGAAAUGCGCAGAUAUCAGGAGGAACACCGGUGGCGAAGGCGGAUCUCUGGGCCUUGCCUGACGCUGAGGCGCGAAAGCUAGGGGAGCGAACAGGAUUAGAUACCCUGGUAGUCCUAGCCGUAAACGUUGGGUGCUAGGUGUGGGCGGAUAUCGACCCCGUCCGUGCCGAAGCUAACGCAUUAAGCACCCCGCCUGGGGAGUACGGCCGCAAGGCUAAAACUCAAAGGAAUUGACGGGGGCCCGCACAAGCGGCGGAGCAUGCGGCUUAAUUCGAUGCGACGCGAAGAACCUUACCAAGGCUUGACAUACACUGGACCGUUCUGGAAACAGUUCUUCUCUUUGGAGCUGGUGUACAGGUGGUGCAUGGUUGUCGUCAGCUCGUGUCGUGAGAUGUUGGGUUAAGUCCCGCAACGAGCGCAACCCUCGUUCUAUGUUGCCAGCACGUGAUGGUGGGAACUCAUAGGAGACUGCCGGGGUCAACUCGGAGGAAGGUGGGGAUGACGUCAAAUCAUCAUGCCCUUUAUGUCUUGGGCUUCACGCAUGCUACAAUGGCUGGUACAGAGAGAGGCGAACCCGUGAGGGUGAGCGAAUCCCUUAAAGCCAGUCUCAGUUCGGAUCGUAGUCUGCAAUUCGACUACGUGAAGUCGGAGUCGCUAGUAAUCGCAGAUCAGCAACGCUGCGGUGAAUACGUUCCCGGGCCUUGUACACACCGCCCGUCAAGUCACGAAAGUCGGUAACACCCGAAGCCGGUGUCCCAACCCCUUUUUUGGGGAGGGGGCCGUCUAAGGUGGGACUGGUGAUUGGGACUAAGUCGUAACAAGGUA
This 1413-nucleotide ribosomal RNA is filed under the name uncultured bacterium. RNAcentral's name for it is "partial 16S ribosomal RNA". It matches the Rfam family "Bacterial small subunit ribosomal RNA". The record is from RNAcentral.